UUAAGCGACUAAGCGUACACGGUGGAUGCCCUGGCAGUCAGAGGCGAUGAAGGACGUGCUAAUCUGCGAUAAGCGUCGGUAAGGUGAUAUGAACCGUUAUAACCGGCGAUUUCCGAAUGGGGAAACCCAGUGUGAUUCGUCACACUAUCAUUAACUGAAUCCAUAGGUUAAUGAGGCGAACCGGGGGAACUGAAACAUCUAAGUACCCCGAGGAAAAGAAAUCAACCGAGAUUCCCCCAGUAGCGGCGAGCGAACGGGGAGGAGCCCAGAGCCUGAAUCAGUGUGUGUGUUAGUGGAAGCGUCUGGAAAGGCGCGCGAUACAGGGUGACAGCCCCGUACACAAAAAUGCACAUGCUGUGAGCUCGAUGAGUAGGGCGGGACACGUGGUAUCCUGUCUGAAUAUGGGGGGACCAUCCUCCAAGGCUAAAUACUCCUGACUGACCGAUAGUGAACCAGUACCGUGAGGGAAAGGCGAAAAGAACCCCGGCGAGGGGAGUGAAAAAGAACCUGAAACCGUGUACGUACAAGCAGUGGGAGCACGCUUAGGCGUGUGACUGCGUACCUUUUGUAUAAUGGGUCAGCGACUUAUAUUCUGUAGCAAGGUUAACCGAAUAGGGGAGCCGAAGGGAAACCGAGUCUUAACUGGGCGUUAAGUUGCAGGGUAUAGACCCGAAACCCGGUGAUCUAGCCAUGGGCAGGUUGAAGGUUGGGUAACACUAACUGGAGGACCGAACCGACUAAUGUUGAAAAAUUAGCAGAUGACUUGUGGCUGGGGGUGAAAGGCCAAUCAAACCGGGAGAUAGCUGGUUCUCCCCGAAAGCUAUUUAGGUAGCGCCUCGUGAAUUCAUCUCCGGGGGUAGAGCACUGUUUCGGCAAGGGGGUCAUCCCGACUUACCAACCCGAUGCAAACUGCGAAUACCGGAGAAUGUUAUCACGGGAGACACACGGCGGGUGCUAACGUCCGUCGUGAAGAGGGAAACAACCCAGACCGCCAGCUAAGGUCCCAAAGUCAUGGUUAAGUGGGAAACGAUGUGGGAAGGCCCAGACAGCCAGGAUGUUGGCUUAGAAGCAGCCAUCAUUUAAAGAAAGCGUAAUAGCUCACUGGUCGAGUCGGCCUGCGCGGAAGAUGUAACGGGGCUAAACCAUGCACCGAAGCUGCGGCAGCGACGCUUAUGCGUUGUUGGGUAGGGGAGCGUUCUGUAAGCCUGUGAAGGUGUGCUGUGAGGCAUGCUGGAGGUAUCAGAAGUGCGAAUGCUGACAUAAGUAACGAUAAAGCGGGUGAAAAGCCCGCUCGCCGGAAGACCAAGGGUUCCUGUCCAACGUUAAUCGGGGCAGGGUGAGUCGACCCCUAAGGCGAGGCCGAAAGGCGUAGUCGAUGGGAAACAGGUUAAUAUUCCUGUACUUGGUGUUACUGCGAAGGGGGGACGGAGAAGGCUAUGUUGGCCGGGCGACGGUUGUCCCGGUUUAAGCGUGUAGGCUGGUUUUCCAGGCAAAUCCGGAAAAUCAAGGCUGAGGCGUGAUGACGAGGCACUACGGUGCUGAAGCAACAAAUGCCCUGCUUCCAGGAAAAGCCUCUAAGCAUCAGGUAACAUCAAAUCGUACCCCAAACCGACACAGGUGGUCAGGUAGAGAAUACCAAGGCGCUUGAGAGAACUCGGGUGAAGGAACUAGGCAAAAUGGUGCCGUAACUUCGGGAGAAGGCACGCUGAUAUGUAGGUGNACUAACUGGAGGACCGAACCGACUAAUGUUGAAAAAUUAGCGGAUGACUUGUGGCUGGGGGUGAAAGGCCAAUCAAACCGGGAGAUAGCUGGUUCUCCCCGAAAGCUAUUUAGGUAGCGCCUCGUGAAUUCAUCUCCGGGGGUAGAGCACUGUUUCGGCAAGGGGGUCAUCCCGACUUACCAACCCGAUGCAAACUGCGAAUACCGGAGAAUGUUAUCACGGGAGACACACGGCGGGUGCUAACGUCCGUCGUGAAGAGGGAAACAACCCAGACCGCCAGCUAAGGUCCCAAAGUCAUGGUUAAGUGGGAAACGAUGUGGGAAGGCCCAGACAGCCAGGAUGUUGGCUUAGAAGCAGCCAUCAUUUAAAGAAAGCGUAAUAGCUCACUGGUCGAGUCGGCCUGCGCGGAAGAUGUAACGGGGCUAAACCAUGCACCGAAGCUGCGGCAGCGACGCUUAUGCGUUGUUGGGUAGGGGAGCGUUCUGUAAGCCUGCGAAGGUGUGCUGUGAGGCAUGCUGGAGGUAUCAGAAGUGCGAAUGCUGACAUAAGUAACGAUAAAGCGGGUGAAAAGCCCGCUCGCCGGAAGACCAAGGGUUCCUGUCCAACGUUAAUCGGGGCAGGGUGAGUCGACCCCUAAGGCGAGGCCGAAAGGCGUAGUCGAUGGGAAACAGGUUAAUAUUCCUGUACUUGGUGUUACUGCGAAGGGGGGACGGAGAAGGCUAUGUUGGCCGGGCGACGGUUGUCCCGGUUUAAGCGUGUAGGCUGGUUUUCCAGGCAAAUCCGGAAAAUCAAGGCUGAGGCGUGAUGACGAGGCACUACGGUGCUGAAGCAACAAAUGCCCUGCUUCCAGGAAAAGCCUCUAAGCAUCAGGUAACAUCAAAUCGUACCCCAAACCGACACAGGUGGUCAGGUAGAGAAUACCAAGGCGCUUGAGAGAACUCGGGUGAAGGAACUAGGCAAAAUGGUGCCGUAACUUCGGGAGAAGGCACGCUGAUAUGUAGGUGAAGUCCCUCGCGGAUGGAGCUGAAAUCAGUCGAAGAUACCAGCUGGCUGCAACUGUUUAUUAAAAACACAGCACUGUGCAAACACGAAAGUGGACGUAUACGGUGUGACGCCUGCCCGGUGCCGGAAGGUUAAUUGAUGGGGUUAGCGCAAGCGAAGCUCUUGAUCGAAGCCCCGGUAAACGGCGGCCGUAACUAUAACGGUCCUAAGGUAGCGAAAUUCCUUGUCGGGUAAGUUCCGACCUGCACGAAUGGCGUAAUGAUGGCCAGGCUGUCUCCACCCGAGACUCAGUGAAAUUGAACUCGCUGUGAAGAUGCAGUGUACCCGCGGCAAGACGGAAAGACCCCGUGAACCUUUACUAUAGCUUGACACUGAACAUUGAGCCUUGAUGUGUAGGAUAGGUGGGAGGCUUUGAAGUGUGGACGCCAGUCUGCAUGGAGCCGACCUUGAAAUACCACCCUUUAAUGUUUGAUGUUCUAACGUUGACCCGUGAUCCGGGUUGCGGACAGUGUCUGGUGGGUAGUUUGACUGGGGCGGUCUCCUCCUAAAGAGUAACGGAGGAGCACGAAGGUUGGCUAAUCCUGGUCGGACAUCAGGAGGUUAGUGCAAUGGCAUAAGCCAGCUUGACUGCGAGCGUGACGGCGCGAGCAGGUGCGAAAGCAGGUCAUAGUGAUCCGGUGGUUCUGAAUGGAAGGGCCAUCGCUCAACGGAUAAAAGGUACUCCGGGGAUAACAGGCUGAUACCGCCCAAGAGUUCAUAUCGACGGCGGUGUUUGGCACCUCGAUGUCGGCUCAUCACAUCCUGGGGCUGAAGUAGGUCCCAAGGGUAUGGCUGUUCGCCAUUUAAAGUGGUACGCGAGCUGGGUUUAGAACGUCGUGAGACAGUUCGGUCCCUAUCUGCCGUGGGCGCUGGAGAACUGAGGGGGGCUGCUCCUAGUACGAGAGGACCGGAGUGGACGCAUCACUGGUGUUCGGGUUGUCAUGCCAAUGGCACUGCCCGGUAGCUAAAUGCGGAAGAGAUAAGUGCUGAAAGCAUCUAAGCACGAAACUUGCCCCGAGAUGAGUUCUCCCUGACUCCUUGAGAGUCCUGAAGGAACGUUGAAGACGACGACGUUGAUAGGCCGGGUGUGUAAGCGCAGCGAUGCGUUGAGCUAACCGGUACUAAUGAACCGUGAGGCUUAACCUU
RNAcentral lists this ribosomal RNA (3907 nucleotides) under Escherichia coli. Its description in RNAcentral is "bacterial LSU rRNA". It matches the Rfam family "Bacterial large subunit ribosomal RNA". Lineage: Bacteria; Pseudomonadati; Pseudomonadota; Gammaproteobacteria; Enterobacterales; Enterobacteriaceae. The record is from RNAcentral.